Folsomia candida is the source of this 706-nucleotide long non-coding RNA. RefSeq lists it as uncharacterized. The record is from RefSeq and is a predicted model, not a curated record. The transcript has 3 exons. Lineage: Eukaryota; Metazoa; Arthropoda; Collembola; Entomobryomorpha; Isotomidae.
GAAGAUAACGAAAUUAGGGCGAAUUCGGUUUGGGAGAUAACUUUGAGCGAAUUGGCCAAGGUUCAAAUCAACAAAUAUUGGUAGAACUGACACAGGAACAUUUGUAUUAAAAAUGACGCUGGAGCAGUUUGUGUUUAAUACUUAAUACUCGUCUAAUUAGCGGAAAGGCCAGCUGAUAAUCAUUCUGAUGAGAAUCACAAGUCGCCUUAUACUUGCCGUUAAAUUAAGGUGUCCUGUGUCAGCCUUUGGGAAGUAUGGAUUUAUAGGCUAUAAAAUCGUGAAACAGGCAAUUCAAGAAAUCAAUAGUACCCUUAACAAAAAGUAUUCCAUUGAUACCUGACUACGCUGAUUUGUUUAACCAGAUAAAAUCUUCGAAAUUUUACAGCCUUGUUCCAUUAGAUACGACCCAAAGAAAAGACACCAUCGACGGCGAUCAAUGGACUGAACUUGACAAAAAACUCCCACUAGAAGCCAGUUUUUCUACAUUGAAAAAUAUAAUGACCAAGCAACGAGAUCGUCUAAUUGUGUUGAAACUAACUAUGCCAGCGACUUCUAUAUUUUUUAAUCAAAAAUAUAAUUGAGUGACUGUUCCUGUGUCAUUUAAAAUGUUCCUGAGUCAGUCAAAUUUGUGUCAGGAUCUCAGGAAUCCUGAGUCAGGAUGGUCGAUUGGGGAAAUGUUAUAAAUAAAUGUUUUUCAACAAAUUUA